GACGAACGCUGGCGGCGUGCCUAAUACAUGCAAGUUGAGCGAUGAAGCUUGGUGCUUGCACCAAUUUGAAGAGCAGCGAACGGGUGAGUAACGCGUGGGGAAUCUGCCUUUGAGCGGGGGACAACAUUUGGAAACGAAUGCUAAUACCGCAUAACAACUUUAAACAUAAGUUUUAAGUUUGAAAGAUGCAAUUGCAUCACUCAAAGAUGAUCCCGCGUUGUAUUAGCUAGUUGGUGAGGUAAAGGCUCACCAAGGCGAUGAUACAUAGCCGACCUGAGAGGGUGAUCGGCCACAUUGGGACUGAGACACGGCCCAAACUCCUACGGGAGGCAGCAGUGGGGAAUCUUCGGCAAUGGACGAAAGUCUGACCGAGCAACGCCGCGUGAGUGAAGAAGGUUUUCGGAUCGUAAAACUCUGUUGGUAGAGAAGAACGUUGGUGAGAGUGGAAAGCUCAUCAAGUGACGGUAACUACCCAGAAAGGGGCGGCUAACUACGUG
RNAcentral lists this ribosomal RNA (497 nucleotides) under uncultured bacterium. RNAcentral's name for it is "partial 16S ribosomal RNA". It matches the Rfam family "Bacterial small subunit ribosomal RNA", at positions 28 to 507 of the family's 1533-position model. The record is from RNAcentral.